ACGGAGGGUGCAAGCGUUAAUCGGAAUUACUGGGCGUAAAGCGCACGCAGGCGGUUUGUUAAGUCAGAUGUGAAAUCCCCUGGCUCAACCUGGGAAAUGCAUCCGAUACUGGCAAGCUUGAGGCUCGUAGAGGGGGGUUGAAUUCCAGGUGUAGGGGUGAAAUGCGUAGAGAUCGGGAGGAAUACCGGUGGCGAAGGCGGCCCUCUGGCCGAACACUGACGCUGAGCUGCGAAAGCGUGGGGAGCAAACAG
This 251-nucleotide ribosomal RNA is filed under the name uncultured prokaryote. RNAcentral's name for it is "partial 16S rRNA". It matches the Rfam family "Bacterial small subunit ribosomal RNA", at positions 525 to 775 of the family's 1533-position model. The record is from RNAcentral.